RNAcentral lists this ribosomal RNA (736 nucleotides) under uncultured Staphylococcus sp. RNAcentral's name for it is "bacterial SSU rRNA". It matches the Rfam family "Bacterial small subunit ribosomal RNA", at positions 62 to 780 of the family's 1533-position model. The record is from RNAcentral. Lineage: Bacteria; Bacillati; Bacillota; Bacilli; Caryophanales; Staphylococcaceae.
UCGAGCGAACAGAUAAGGAGCUUGCUCCUUUGACGUUAGCGGCGGACGGGUGAGUAACACGUGGGUAACCUACCUAUAAGACUGGGACAACUUCGGGAAACCGGAGCUAAUACCGGAUAAUAUGUUGAACCGCAUGGUUCAAUAGUGAAAGAUGGUUUUGCUAUCACUUAUAGAUGGACCCGCGCCGUAUUAGCUAGUUGGUGAGGUAACGGCUCACCAAGGCAACGAUACGUAGCCGACCUGAGAGGGUGAUCGGCCACACUGGAACUGAGACACGGUCCAGACUCCUACGGGAGGCAGCAGUAGGGAAUCUUCCGCAAUGGGCGAAAGCCUGACGGAGCAACGCCGCGUGAGUGAUGAAGGUCUUAGGAUCGUAAAACUCUGUUAUUAGGGAAGAACAAACGUGUAAGUAACUGUGCACGUCUUGACGGUACCUAAUCGGAAAGCCACGGCUAACUACGUGCCAGCAGCCGCGGUAAUACGUAGGUGGCAAGCGUUAUCCGGAAUUAUUGGGCGUAAAGCGCGCGUAGGCGGUUUUUUAAGUCUGAUGUGAAAGCCCACGGCUCAACCGUGGAGGGUCAUUGGAAACUGGAAAACUUGAGUGCAGAAGAGGAAAGUGGAAUUCCAUGUGUAGCGGUGAAAUGCGCAGAGAUAUGGAGGAACACCAGUGGCGAAGGCGACUUUCUGGUCUGUAACUGACGCUGAUGUGCGAAAGCGUGGGGAUCAAACAGGAUUA